GAUGAACGCUGGCGGCGUGCCUAAUACAUGCAAGUCGAGCGAACAGACGAGGAGCUUGCUCCUUCGACGUUAGCGGCGGACGGGUGAGUAACACGUAGGUAACCUACCUAUAAGACUGGGAUAACUUCGGGAAACCGGAGCUAAUACCGGAUAAUAUUUCGAACCGCAUGGUUCGAUAGUGAAAGAUGGCUUUGCUAUCACUUAUAGAUGGACCUGCGCCGUAUUAGCUAGUUGGUAAGGUAACGGCUUACCAAGGCAACGAUACGUAGCCGACCUGAGAGGGUGGUCGGCCACACUGGAACUGAGACACGGUCCAGACUCCUACGGGAAGCAGCAGUAGGGAAUCUUCCGCAAAGGGCGAAAGCCUGACGGAGCAACGCCGCGUGAGUGAUGAAGGUCUUCGGAUCGUAAAACUCUGUUAUUAGGGAAGAACAAACGUGUAAGUAACUGUGCACGUCUUGACGGUACCUAAUCAGAAAGCCACGGCUAACUACGUG
This 497-nucleotide ribosomal RNA is filed under the name uncultured bacterium. Its description in RNAcentral is "partial 16S ribosomal RNA". It matches the Rfam family "Bacterial small subunit ribosomal RNA", at positions 28 to 507 of the family's 1533-position model. The record is from RNAcentral.